UCGAGUCGACUCCCAGCUACAGUGCCGGCAGACUUUUAUUCACGAGUCGACUCCUACUUCAGCCGAGUCGACUCCUACUUUAGCCGAGUCGACUCGAGCACGCUGAGAGGCACAACGGCUAGUUUUUUCUCAACUCCAACGGCUCUAUUUUUGUCUCUAACGGCUAGAUCUUUGUUCAUAAGCCAUCCAAAGCUAUAAAAUCAAGGGGAAAGCUAGGGGAGAAGUUAAGAAAGUGGGAGAAAACACAUAGGGAAGAGAUUUCAAGAGAAACCUUCCAAAAGCACAAAAGGGCCAUUCAAAGCAAAAGAGAGAAAAGAAGAGCAUCCGAGUGAAUCCCAAAGCUUCAUCUCUAACUGUGUGCUGCCUCAGUGAUCCUCUACCUCGUGCGAAAUCAGAAGAGGGUCAAGUAAAGAAGAAGCCGAGUUUCCUCAUCUAUAAAACUUGUUUGAGGGCUUCUCUUUACUCUAUUUGUUUACAUUGUUAUAUCUACUUGUUUAAGAAGCUUUGAUUUGUUUUAAACUCUUGUUCUAAUAUCUUGUAACUUGAUUCAAUCAAGGGAUUGAAUCAAGGGGUUAAGGUUUGUUGGUGAGCUAAAGGGAAAACCAACGGUGUAAGGUUGUGGUUGGUGAACCGGAGAAAACCAACUGGGUUGGAUUGUGAGCCUGUGAAAACAAUCGGAUUGGUUCUAGUCGGUGAGCCUGUGAAAACCGACCGAGUUCGUUGUGAUCUCGUGAAAACAACAAGUUAGGUUGUGAGCUUGUAAAACAACCGGCUGUAAUCUAAGGGAUUAUAGUAAAAUUUCCAAGAGGUCUUAGGGAGUGGAUGUAGAUGCUGGGGUGCACCGAACCACUAUACAUCUUUGUGUUUGUGAUGCUUUAUCUCUUGUGUUUCAUGCCUUACAUUCAUACUUAAUUGUG
This 917-nucleotide long non-coding RNA is filed under the name Phoenix dactylifera (date palm). Its description in RNAcentral is "long non-coding RNA (PDAC_LNC017069)". The record is from RNAcentral. Lineage: Eukaryota; Viridiplantae; Streptophyta; Magnoliopsida; Arecales; Arecaceae.